GGUGUGUUGCCCGAGUGGUUAAGGGGUUAGUCUUGAAUUUAUGAAUGUUCAAUGGUGUCUCUGUGCGCCGUUAACUAAUUCACUCUGUGAUCGCAGGUUCGAAUCCUGCACACAUCG
RNAcentral lists this transfer RNA (117 nucleotides) under Moesziomyces antarcticus. RNAcentral's name for it is "Pseudozyma antarctica tRNA". It matches the Rfam family "tRNA". From Rfam's summary of the family: Transfer RNA (tRNA) molecules are approximately 80 nucleotides in length. Their secondary structure includes four short double-helical elements and three loops (D, anti-codon, and T loops). Lineage: Eukaryota; Fungi; Basidiomycota; Ustilaginomycetes; Ustilaginales; Ustilaginaceae. The record is from Rfam by way of RNAcentral.